UGGUGCUUUCCACUCCCAUGGUGUGACGGGCGGUGUGUACAAGGCCCGGCAACGUAUUCACCGUGACAUUCUGAUUCACGAUUACUAGCGAUUCCGACUUCACGGAGUCUAGUUGCAGACUCCGAUCCGGACUGAGACCGGGCUUUAUGAAAUUUAGCUCCACCUUGGGGGUUGCCACCCUUGUACUAGCCAUCGGACACAGGUUGCAGGAGUGGGGA
RNAcentral lists this ribosomal RNA (218 nucleotides) under Halomonas organivorans. RNAcentral describes it as "partial 16S ribosomal RNA". The record is from RNAcentral. Lineage: Bacteria; Pseudomonadati; Pseudomonadota; Gammaproteobacteria; Oceanospirillales; Halomonadaceae.